AUUGAACGCUGGCGGCAUGCUUUACACAUGCAAGUCGGACGGCAGCAUAAAGGAGCUUGCUCUUUUGAUGGCGAGUGGCGAACGGGUGAGUAAUGCAUCGGAACGUACCGAGUAGUGGGGGAUAACUGUCCGAAAGGAUGGCUAAUACCGCAUAUUCUCUGAGGAGGAAAGCAGGGGACCUUAGGGCCUUGCGCUAUUUGAGCGGCCGAUGUCUGAUUAGCUAGUUGGUGGGGUAAGAGCCCACCAAGGCGACGAUCAGUAGCGGGUCUGAGAGGAUGAUCCGCCACACUGGGACUGAGACACGGCCCAGACUCCUACGGGAGGCAGCAGUGGGGAAUUUUGGACAAUGGGCGCAAGCCUGAUCCAGCCAUGCCGCGUGUAUGAAGAAGGCCUUCGGGUUGUAAAGUACUUUUGUCAGGGAAGAAAAGCCUGAGGAUAACACCCUCAGGUCAUGACGGUACCUGAAGAAUAAGCACCGGCUAACUACGUGCCAGCAGCCGCGGUAAUACGUAGGGUGCGAGCGUUAAUCGGAAUUACUGGGCGUAAAGCGAGCGCAGACGGUUAUUUAAGCAAGAUGUGAAAGCCCCGGGCUCAACCUGGGAACUGCGUUUUGAACUGGGUAACUAGAGUGUGUCAGAGGGGGGUAGAAUUCCACGUGUAGCAGUGAAAUGCGUAGAGAUGUGGAGGAAUACCGAUGGCGAAGGCAGCCCCCUGGGAUAACACUGACGUUCAUGCUCGAAAGCGUGGGUAGCAAACAGG
RNAcentral lists this ribosomal RNA (759 nucleotides) under uncultured Neisseriaceae bacterium. RNAcentral's name for it is "bacterial SSU rRNA". It matches the Rfam family "Bacterial small subunit ribosomal RNA", at positions 28 to 776 of the family's 1533-position model. Lineage: Bacteria; Pseudomonadati; Pseudomonadota; Betaproteobacteria; Neisseriales; Neisseriaceae. The record is from RNAcentral.